RNAcentral lists this microRNA precursor (95 nucleotides) under Chlorocebus sabaeus (green monkey). Its description in RNAcentral is "miRNA (ENSCSAG00000022527.1)". The record is from RNAcentral. Lineage: Eukaryota; Metazoa; Chordata; Mammalia; Primates; Cercopithecidae.
UAUAUUAUGUAUAUAAUGUAUAUACAUAAAUAUGUAUAGUAUGCACAUAUAUAUUACAUAUAGUAUGUAUAUAUAAUGUAUAGUGUGUGCAUGUG